Molecule: Y RNA, 115 nt
Filed under: Propithecus coquereli (Coquerel's sifaka)
Lineage: Eukaryota; Metazoa; Chordata; Mammalia; Primates; Indriidae
Description: Y RNA (ENSPCOG00000006686.1)
Rfam family: Y RNA
About the family: Y RNAs are components of the Ro ribonucleoprotein particle (Ro RNP), in association with Ro60 and La proteins. The Y RNAs and Ro60 and La proteins are well conserved, but the function of the Ro RNP is not known. In humans the RNA component can be one of four small RNAs -- hY1, hY3, hY4 and hY5.
Source: RNAcentral
CAUCUGUCUGAGACAGUUACGGUUAUCUCACUUGAUUGUUCACAGUCAGUUACAGAUUGAACUCCUUGUGCUACUACUUUCCCCCCUCCUCACUAUUGCACUUGACUAGUCUUUA